AGAGCGAACGCUGGCGGCAGGCCUAACACAUGCAAGUCGAGCGCCCGUAGCAAUACGGGAGCGGCAGACGGGAUAGUAACACGUGGGAACGCGCCCUUCGGUUCGGAAUAACUCAGGGAAACUUGAGCUAAUACCGGAUACGCCCUUACGGGGAAAGAUUUAUUGCCGAAGGAACGGCCCGCGUCCGAUUAGCUAGUUGGUGAGGUAAUGGCUCACCAAGGCGACGAUCGGUAGCUGGUCUGAGAGGAUGACCAGCAUCACUGGGACUGAGACACGGCCCAGACUCCUACGGGAGGCAGCAGUGGGGAAUAUUGGACAAUGGGCGCAAGCCUGAUCCAGCCAUGCCGCGUGGAUGAUGAAGGCCUUAGGGUUGUAAAGUCCUUUUAACGGGGAAGUAUAAUGACGGUACCCGUAGAAAUAAGCCCCGGCUAACUUCGCGCCAGCGAGCCGC
This 451-nucleotide ribosomal RNA is filed under the name uncultured bacterium. RNAcentral's name for it is "SSU rRNA". It matches the Rfam family "Bacterial small subunit ribosomal RNA", at positions 26 to 518 of the family's 1533-position model. The record is from RNAcentral.